GUAAAUGUAGUUUAACGGUAGAACAUCCAUAUAAAUUGGAAGGAAUGGGUUCGACUCCCAGCCAUUACACCA
RNAcentral lists this transfer RNA (72 nucleotides) under Bacillus sp. AFS053548. RNAcentral's name for it is "tRNA-Leu". It matches the Rfam family "tRNA". From Rfam's summary of the family: Transfer RNA (tRNA) molecules are approximately 80 nucleotides in length. Their secondary structure includes four short double-helical elements and three loops (D, anti-codon, and T loops). The record is from RNAcentral. Lineage: Bacteria; Bacillati; Bacillota; Bacilli; Caryophanales; Bacillaceae.